CCCGCCUCGCGCAGCCACUCGCCCGCGCCUCACGCAGCGGCCGCCGUCCGCACCGGCCUGACAAGCAGGACAAGGGCACCGGACAAGGAGAGGACAGGGGUGACGGCUUCAUGGCCGUACCAGGGUAGGAGUCUUCCCUCACCUCCAUUCCCUACCCGUGUAGUUGCAGGAGAAGAUGUACGACAAGGAGAUCACGGUUGCCGACCGCGAGAUGGUAGAGGAGUGUGCGGACCAGAUGCUGAGCGAGGCCACAAACGCCGGCGUUGCCUUCCUCGUUGUCGGCGACCCGUUUGGAGACUUUGGUAUGUACAACGGCGAACAGUUCAUGGCCAGAAGAUGUGGGGUCAUGCUUACGCGUCGGCGCCGGUGAGGGUGGACCUGUGAGGCGGACCACCUCCACGCGGCCACAACGGCCACCUCUGCGGCCGCCGUUGUGGCGAGAGCAGCCGCCGUUGUGGCAAGCGCGACCGCCACCGCGUGCUUGCUCUGCUCUUCCUCUGCCCGCCUUAUCUGAAUCUGAUCCGUCGUCGGCUCCGGCUCCGGAGCUCGCAGGGCAAACGAGUGCUGGGUCUCGAGCUUCCCCACCAGCCAUCUCUUGCUCUUCACCUUCUGAAAAUGAACGGAAAAUCUUGUACCAUUGAAUCACCUGUACCUGUAGUUGGUUUGGUCCAUCAUCGGUCUCAAAAAAGUACAUUGUUAAUUACUGCCGAGCAAGCUUGUGUGAUGUUGCGAGGCGGAGUGUUUAACUGUUAAGUGGUUGAUGCCAAUGAUGUCUUACUUGAAAUCUAUUUAACACCGCAGGAAAGGACUUCACAAUAUGAUGGGAGCAACCUGCAUUUUUGAAAUGUACUGGACUAAUUUCAUCACAAAUAACUAGGUGGAAUGGAUUAUUGAUCGAUGAAUCGAUCACAACUGCUAAAAGGAGGAAUCACGCGUGGGUCAUGGAUGAUGGAUCUUGGACUACGAGAUGAGAACAAAAGUGAUUCGUCGGAGUAAUAUAAGCGAACCCAGAAAUGUUUCGUUUCCUCUCUUCACAUGUCGAAGCUCCGAGCAUAAUGAAUUUAUUAUUAGUAGCACCGUGACCUUCAAAUCAUGUGUUAUAUGAAACCACUCUUGUGUUUGCCCCCUCUUCCAAAUUGAAUCUGGUUUUAACAGUAUAUCAUUACUAUUUUACCUACUUGAUGCUUAAUGCGUGCAUUUCUCAAA
Molecule: long non-coding RNA, 1206 nt
Organism: Hordeum vulgare subsp. vulgare (domesticated barley)
Lineage: Eukaryota; Viridiplantae; Streptophyta; Magnoliopsida; Poales; Poaceae
Exons: 3
Source: RefSeq, a predicted model, not a curated record